This 825-nucleotide ribosomal RNA is filed under the name uncultured bacterium. RNAcentral describes it as "bacterial SSU rRNA". It matches the Rfam family "Bacterial small subunit ribosomal RNA", at positions 637 to 1458 of the family's 1533-position model. The record is from RNAcentral.
CCGGCUNGAGUGCGGUAGGGGAGGCUGGAAUUCCUGGUGUAGCGGUGGAAUGCGCAGAUAUCAGGAGGAACACCGGUGGCGAAGGCGGGUCUCUGGGCCGUGUACUGACGCUGAGGAGCGAAAGCGUGGGGAGCGAACAGGAUUAGAUACCCUGGUAGUCCACGCUGUAAACGUUGGGCACUAGGUGUGGGGGGUCUUUCCGGNUCUUCCGCGCCGUAGCUAACGCAUUAAGUGCCCCGCCUGGGGAGUACGGCCGCAAGGCUAAAACUCAAAGGAAUUGACGGGGGCCCGCACAAGCGGCGGAGCAUGCGGAUUAAUUCGAUGCAACGCGAAGAACCUUACCAAGGCUUGACAUGGGCCGGUGGUUCCCGGAGACGGGAGCGUCCCCUUUUUUGUGGGCUGGUUCACAGGUGGUGCAUGGUUGUCGUCAGCUCGUGUCGUGAGAUGUUGGGUUAAGUCCCGCAACGAGCGCAACCCUUGUCUCGUGUUGCCAGCACGUUGUGGUGGGGACUCGCGGGAGACUGCCGGGGUCAACUCGGAGGAGGGUGGGGAUGACGUCAAAUCAUCAUGCCCCUUAUGUCUUGGGCUUCACGCAUGCUACAAUGGCCGGUACAGUGGGUUGCGAUGUCGUGAGGCGGAGCGAAUCCCUGAAAGCCGGUCUCAGUUCGGGUCGGUGUCUGCAACUCGACACCGUGAAGUUGGAGUCGCUAGUAAUCGCAGAUCAGCAACGCUGCGGUGAAUACGUUCUCGGGCCUUGUACACACCGCCCGUCACGUCAUGAAAGUCGGCAACACCCGAAGCCCGUGGCCUUAUGGGGAGCGGUCG